UUAAAGUUAAUCUUGGUAAUAGAUAAAUGUAUCUGAGACAUUAACUCACAGCAGGGGCUGGGCUUUAAG
This 69-nucleotide transfer RNA is filed under the name Magallana ariakensis (Suminoe oyster). RNAcentral describes it as "tRNA-Gln". Lineage: Eukaryota; Metazoa; Mollusca; Bivalvia; Ostreida; Ostreidae. The record is from RNAcentral.